RNAcentral lists this ribosomal RNA (536 nucleotides) under Saturnispora silvae. RNAcentral's name for it is "eukaryotic LSU rRNA". It matches the Rfam family "Eukaryotic large subunit ribosomal RNA", at positions 38 to 593 of the family's 3401-position model. Lineage: Eukaryota; Fungi; Ascomycota; Pichiomycetes; Pichiales; Pichiaceae. The record is from RNAcentral.
GCAUAUCAAUUAAGCGGAGGAAAAGAAACCAACAGGGAUUGCCUCAGUAGCGGCGAGUGAAGCGGCAAAAGCUCCAUUUUGAAAGCUCUUCGGAGCGUUGUAGAUUGGUGGGAAGCUAACGGCUGGUGGGAGACCAAGUCCUCUGGAACGAGGCGCCAUAGAGGGUGAGAGCCCCGUGUGUCUCCUUUACCGACCUUUCAGCCCCCUCCGCGGAGUCGAGUUGUUUGGGAAUGCAGCUCUAAGUGGGUGGUAAAUUCCAUCUAAGGCUAAAUAUUGGCGAGAGACCGAUAGCGAACAAGUACAGUGAUGGAAAGAUGAAAAGCACUUUGAAAAGAGAGUGAAACAGUACGUGAAAUUGUUGAAAGGGAAGGGUAUUUGGCCCGACAUGGGUCCUAUGCACCGUUGCCUCUCGUGGGCGGCGCUCUGCUUGGGCCUGGGCCAGCGUCAGUUUGGAGGGGGCGAGAAGGGUUUUGGGGAGUUGCCUAGCAAUUCCCCUUUGCUAGAUUGCCCCACACCGGACUGAGGACCGCCAUCUG